This 618-nucleotide ribosomal RNA is filed under the name uncultured bacterium. RNAcentral describes it as "bacterial SSU rRNA". The stretch from base 1 to 532 matches the Rfam family "Bacterial small subunit ribosomal RNA", at positions 338 to 873 of the family's 1533-position model. The record is from RNAcentral.
CCUACGGGAGGCAGCAGUGGGGAAUAUUGGACAAUGGGCGAAAGCCUGAUCCAGCCAUGCCGCGUGUGUGAAGAAGGUCUUCGGAUUGUAAAGCACUUUAAGUUGGGAGGAAGGGCAUUAACCUAAUACGUUAGUGUUUUGACGUUACCGACAGAAUAAGCACCGGCUAACUCUGUGCCAGCAGCCGCGGUAAUACAGAGGGUGCAAGCGUUAAUCGGAAUUACUGGGCGUAAAGCGCGCGUAGGUGGUUUGUUAAGUUGGAUGCGAAAUCCCCGGGCUCAACCUGGGAACUGCAUUCAAAACUGACUGACUAGAGUAUGGUAGAGGGUGGUGGAAUUUCCUGUGUAGCGGUGAAAUGCGUAGAUAUAGGAAGGAACACCAGUGGCGAAGGCGACCACCUGGACUAAUACUGACACUGAGGUGCCGAAAGCGUGGGGAGCAAACAGGAUUAGAUACCCUGGUAGUCCACGCCGUAAACGAUGCACUAGCGUGGANCUGNGNUNUGUGCGCNGCUACGCAUAGUUAGACCGCCGNGGGAGGUACGGCCGCGUAAGUUAAACGUUAAAGUUAAGUAGUUAGGUUACGUGAGAGAGCGACGGACGACGACGACGGAGGAGG